AGUUUUAUAGUUUAUUCAGAACUUUAAAUUGCAAAUUUAAGGGAGGGAGUAGGUGCCCUAAGGCUU
Molecule: transfer RNA, 66 nt
Filed under: Polyphylla laticollis
Lineage: Eukaryota; Metazoa; Arthropoda; Insecta; Coleoptera; Scarabaeidae
Also listed under: 1 other name
Description: tRNA-Cys
Source: RNAcentral